CCUACGGGAGGCAGCAGUGGGGAAUAUUGGACAAUGGGGGGAACCCUGAUCCAGCGACGCCGCGUGAGUGAAGAAGUAUUUCGGUAUGUAAAGCUCUAUCAGCAGGGAAGAAAAUGACGGUACCUGACUAAGAAGCCCCGGCUAACUACGUGCCAGCAGCCGCGGUAAUACGUAGGGGGCAAGCGUUAUCCGGAUUUACUGGGUGUAAAGGGAGCGUAGACGGUGCAGCAAGUCUGAUGUGAAAGGUCGGGGCCGAAGCCCGGGACUGCAUGGGAAACUGUUGAACUGGAGUGCAGGAGAGGUAAGCGGAAGUGCUAGGGGAGCGGGGAAAUGCGUAGAUAUUAGGAGGAACACCAGUGGCGAAGGCGGCUUACUGGACUGUAACUGACGUUGAGGCUCGAAAGCGUGGGGAGCAAACAGGAUUAGAUACCCUUGUAGUC
This 440-nucleotide ribosomal RNA is filed under the name uncultured bacterium. RNAcentral describes it as "partial 16S ribosomal RNA". It matches the Rfam family "Bacterial small subunit ribosomal RNA", at positions 338 to 795 of the family's 1533-position model. The record is from RNAcentral.